This 120-nucleotide ribosomal RNA is filed under the name Fusarium poae. Lineage: Eukaryota; Fungi; Ascomycota; Sordariomycetes; Hypocreales; Nectriaceae. The record is from RNAcentral.
ACAUACGACCAUACCUACCAGAAAAUACGGGAUCCCGUCCGCUCUCCCAUAGUCAAGCUGGUAAGGGGCAGAUUAGUAGUUGGGUCGGUGACGACCAGCGAAUCCCCGCUGUUGUAUGUU